Molecule: transfer RNA, 61 nt
Filed under: Pallenopsis pilosa
Lineage: Eukaryota; Metazoa; Arthropoda; Pycnogonida; Pantopoda; Pallenopsidae
Description: tRNA-Arg
Source: RNAcentral
AAAUAAGAAUUGAUAUAUCACAUUUGAUUUCGACUCAAAUUUAGGUUAAUACCCUUAUUUA